UACGUAGGGUGCGAGCGUUAAUCGGAAUUCCUGGGCGUAAAGCGUGCGCAGGCGGUCUGUUAAGACCGAUGUGAAAUCCCCGGGCUUAACCUGGGAACUGCAUUGGUGACUGGCAGGCUUUGAGUGUGGCAGAGGGAGGUAGAAUUCCACGUGUAGCAGUGAAAUGCGUAGAGAUGUGGAGGAAUACCGAUGGCGAAGGCAGCCUCCUGGGCCAACACUGACGCUCAUGCACGAAAGCGUGGAGAGCAAACAGG
RNAcentral lists this ribosomal RNA (254 nucleotides) under uncultured bacterium. Its description in RNAcentral is "partial 16S ribosomal RNA". It matches the Rfam family "Bacterial small subunit ribosomal RNA", at positions 524 to 776 of the family's 1533-position model. The record is from RNAcentral.